This 460-nucleotide ribosomal RNA is filed under the name uncultured bacterium. RNAcentral describes it as "partial 16S ribosomal RNA". It matches the Rfam family "Bacterial small subunit ribosomal RNA", at positions 338 to 795 of the family's 1533-position model. The record is from RNAcentral.
CCUACGGGAGGCAGCAGUGAGGAAUAUUGGUCAAUGGGCUUACGCCUGAACCAGCCAAGUCGCGUGAGGGAAGACUGCCCUAUGGGUUGUAAACCUCUUUUGUCAGGGAGCAAUUGGCGCUACGUGUAGCGUUAUCGAGAGUACCUGAAGAAAAAGCAUCGGCUAACUCCGUGCCAGCAGCCGCGGUAAUACGGAGGAUGCGAGCGUUAUCCGGAUUUAUUGGGUUUAAAGGGUGCGUAGGCGGAAUGCCAAGUCAGCGGUAAAAUCGCGGGGCUCAACCUCGCUCCGCCGUUGAAACUGGCGUGCUUGAGUGGGCGAGAAGUAGGCGGAAUGCGUGGUGUAGCGGUGAAAUGCAUAGAGAUCACGCAGAACUCCGAUUGCGAAGGCAGCAUACCGGCGCACAACUGACGCUGAAGCACGAAAGCGUGGGUAUCGAACAGGAUUAGAUACCCCUGUAGUC